UACGUAGGGUGCGAGCGUUGUCCGGAAUUAUUGGGCGUAAAGAGCUCGUAGGCGGUCUGUCGCGUCGGAUGUGAAAACACGGGGCUCAACCCCGUGCCUGCAUUCGAUACGGGCAGACUAGAGUUCGGUAGGGGAGACUGGAAUUCCUGGUGUAGCGGUGAAAUGCGUAGAUAUCAGGAGGAACACCGGUGGCGAAAGCGCUCAUCUGGCCCAAUACUGACGCUGAGGCGCGAAAGCUAGGGGAGCAAACGGG
RNAcentral lists this ribosomal RNA (253 nucleotides) under uncultured bacterium. RNAcentral's name for it is "partial 16S ribosomal RNA". It matches the Rfam family "Bacterial small subunit ribosomal RNA", at positions 524 to 776 of the family's 1533-position model. The record is from RNAcentral.